RNAcentral lists this ribosomal RNA (253 nucleotides) under uncultured bacterium. RNAcentral describes it as "partial 16S ribosomal RNA". It matches the Rfam family "Bacterial small subunit ribosomal RNA", at positions 524 to 776 of the family's 1533-position model. The record is from RNAcentral.
UACGGAGGGUGCGAGCGUUAAUCGGAAUUACUGGGCGUAAAGCGCACGUAGGCGGUCGGAUAAGUCGGAUGUGAAAGCCCUGGGCUUAACCUGGGAACUGCAUUCGAUACUGCCCGACUGGAGUAUGGGAGAGGGAAGCGGAAUUUCCGGUGUAGCGGUGAAAUGCGUAGAUAUCGGAAGGAACACCAAUGGCGAAGGCAGCUUCCUGGCCCAAUGCUGACGCUCAGGUGCGAAAGCGUGGGGAUCAAACAGG